RNAcentral lists this ribosomal RNA (468 nucleotides) under uncultured bacterium. RNAcentral's name for it is "partial 16S ribosomal RNA". It matches the Rfam family "Bacterial small subunit ribosomal RNA", at positions 28 to 507 of the family's 1533-position model. The record is from RNAcentral.
GACGAACGCUGGCGGCGUGCUUAACACAUGCAAGUCGAACGGAAAGGCCCUGCUUUUGUGGGGUGCUCGAGUGGCGAGCGGGUGAGUAACACGUGAGUAACCUGCCCUUGACUUUGGGACAACUUCAGGAAACUGGGGCUAAUACCGGAUAGGAGCUCCUGCUGCAUGGUGGGGGUUGGAAAGUUUCGGCGGUUGGGGAUGGACUCGCGGCUUAUCAGCUUGUUGGUGGGGUAGUGGCUUACCAAGGCUUUGACGGGUAGCCGGCCUGAGAGGGAGACCGGCCACAUUGGGACUGAGAUACGGCCCAGACUCCUACGGGAGGCAGCAGUGGGGAAUAUUGCACAAUGGGCGGAAGCCUGAUGCAGCAACGCCGCGUGCGGGAUGACGGCCUUCGGGUUGUAAACCGCUUUCGCCUGUGACGAAGCGUGAGUGACGGUAAUGGGUAAAGAAGCACCGGCUAACUACGUG